GAUGAACGCUGGCGGCGUGCCUAAUACAUGCAAGUCGAACGGGGUGUUUGAGCAAUCGAACACUUAGUGGCGAACGGGUGAGUAACGCGUUGGUGACCUGCCCCAAAGCGGGGGAUAACAGCCUGAAAGGGUUGCUAAUACCGCAUGUGAUCGAGAGAGACUAGAAACUCUUGAUUAAAGGAGAAAUCCACUUUGGGAGGGGCCUGCGUCCCAUCAGCUAGUUGGUAGGGUAAAAGCCUACCAAGGCGAUGACGGGUAGGGGACCUGAGAGGGUGACCCCCCACAAUGGAACUGAAACACGGUCCAUACACCUACGGGAGGCUG
This 324-nucleotide ribosomal RNA is filed under the name uncultured Chloroflexota bacterium. Its description in RNAcentral is "bacterial SSU rRNA". It matches the Rfam family "Bacterial small subunit ribosomal RNA", at positions 28 to 351 of the family's 1533-position model. Lineage: Bacteria; Bacillati; Chloroflexota. The record is from RNAcentral.